Molecule: transfer RNA, 96 nt
Filed under: compost metagenome
Description: tRNA-Ser
Source: RNAcentral
CACGGUGGUGGUGCGGGGGGGCUCGGCGGCGCUGCUGGUGUUGUCGCUGUACUGGACGGUGCAGCGGAUCGCUUUUUCGGGCUGAGCCACCGCGCC